GAGUUYAUCAACUUCCCCAACCCUAUGUGAACCUACCUUUAUGUUGCUUCGGCGGUGUCGCGCCGGGUUGCCCCCAGCGGGCUCCCGGGACCACGCGCCCGCCGGAGACCACAAACUCUUGAUUUUGCGAAAGCAGUAUUCUUCUGAGWGGCCGAAAGGCAAAAAACAAAUGAAUCAAAACUUUCAACAACGGAUCUCUUMGGUUCUGGCAUCGAUGAAGAACGCAGCGAAAUGCGAUAAGUAAUGUGAAUUYGCAGAAUUCAGUGAAUCAUCGAAUCUUUGAACGCACAUUGCGCCCGCCAGCAUUCUGGCGGGCAUGCCUGUUCGAGCGUCAUUUCAACCCUCGAGCUCGUCUUCAUUGACGAGAUCGGUGUUGGGACCCGGCAAAGCGGACCCAGUCCGGCGCCGGCCCCGAAAUUCAGUGGCGGCCCGUUGCGGCGACCUCUGCGUAGUAACUUAACCUCGCAGUGGAAGAGCAGCGCGGCCACGCCGUAAAACCCCCGACUUUUUUAAGGUUGACCUCGAAUCAGGUAGGACUACCCGCUGAACUUAAGCAUAUCA
Molecule: ribosomal RNA, 561 nt
Filed under: Zarea fungicola
Lineage: Eukaryota; Fungi; Ascomycota; Sordariomycetes; Hypocreales; Cordycipitaceae
Description: eukaryotic LSU rRNA
Source: RNAcentral